RNAcentral lists this long non-coding RNA (1693 nucleotides) under Medicago truncatula (barrel medic). RNAcentral's name for it is "long non-coding RNA (MTRU_LNC002488)". Lineage: Eukaryota; Viridiplantae; Streptophyta; Magnoliopsida; Fabales; Fabaceae. The record is from RNAcentral.
UAAUCAAAUGCAUCACCAAUAUUAUUAACUUACUUUCAAAUUUAUCCUCCAUAUAACAACACAUGGACAAGUUUGAUUAAAAUGUUGCAAUUUCAGGAUCCUUUUAGAAUAUCAAUAAUGUGAGGGAUUAAAUUCUUUCAAAAAAAAUGUGAGGGAUUAGAUUUAUACAUUGCAACUAAAUGAUUGAAUUUAAGUGGUUAAAGAGCUUCCAUUAAUAUGAAUCAUUUGGAAGAAUCCAAUUUCGACUUCAGGUGAAAACAAUUUAUCGUCAGACUUUACUUACCUUUCGGCUGAACUUUGGAUUACUAAUGCCCCUUUCUCGAGAAACCGGAGGUUAACACCAAAAAAGAUUAAUACAUUCCUAUAAUUUAAAAGACCAAUUUGAAUAUUAAUUUCAUUUUUCAUUAAAGAAAAUUAUGAUACUCUUGAAUGGUUAACAAGGUCCACCACUACCUGAUAAUUGAUGUUGAGAAUUAUAUAAUCUAGACCAAUUUCAAUAAUUCAAUAGAUUGUGUCUGGCAACCAGUAAGAUUCCUCGGUUGCAAUGGAAAGGCUUGUAUGGAUCAUCAGCAGUGCCUGUGUCGUUGUAGAAGCAUUGCAUUAAGAAAGAGAAAAUUCAUUAUCUCUCUCUUAAUUCAACAGCUUUUAGUGAACACUGUUGAUGAAAAAAUGGCUGAAGAAGAUUACAUGCCACAAAGAAAAGAGAAAAUGCUGAGAUUUGUUACCAUGUAUGUUGACAAAGAUCAUGCUUAAGUUCUCCAAUAUACUUACAUUUUUCGCACUCAACCUUUACACAAAAAGAGAAGAAAAUAUGAAAUGAAACCUAAUAUUCAAGUUUGUGACUAUUAACAUAACAUGACAUGAUAACAAAAAUUGAGCAACACUAUAGCCUUAAUUAAUAUUCAAGUUUAUCAUCCCACAUUAGAAGCAAAACAGUGCACCUCCACAUUAUAUACAGUCUAGUUUUCUGCUCCCUGAAUUGCCUUGAACACCGUCGCAUCAAUCGAGGCUUUUCUAUUCUCAUUGAUAAUGAUUGUCUACUCUUGCUAUAUAUAGAUAUGAUAUUAUAGCUAUAACUCUUAUAGUAUAAAACACAAGAACUUAUGAUUAUAUAUAGAAGAAGAAGGUAGUGAUGAAUUAUGAUUAGUGAAAAAUGUGUCAGAACACGUAGGAACCGACAAGGGUGGCCCCUAACCUAAUAGAUAUGAAAACGACAAAGCAGUCUUCGUCACAUUGUCUCUCUCCCAAAUAGACUUUGCUUCAACAGCUCAUCCUUGUAGGAUUGCCCAACCCUGUCUGUCUCUACUCUCUACAAUCUAAUACUCAAUACUAUACUAUAUACGAAUUUCUGCCUCAUUUUCAGGCUUCCAUUUUGUUAUUUCCAUGUUGAUAUAUCAAGUAUCAUAUCAACAAACACCUAUGUAUUCCAGCUAGGAUAUUUUAUUAAUUAUUUUUACAAUAAUGUGGUGGAGAAUCAAUGGUAGGUUCUUUUAAUUAAUACUAAAAGUAUUUCAUAUUAUUGAAUCAAACAAUGAAAUGACUUUCAUUGAACUGUACAUUGUGAUUAUAAGCUUUUAAAUAAUAGAUAUAUUGUAUAGUUAAAAUUGAAAUUCAACUUACAGAAUUGCCCUAAGGUGGUGGGGAGAGUGAUUUUACAUUACUAGCACAUAUAUUUUUCAACCACCAAUUUCGU